GAAAACGCACAAAGACAAUCAUCAUCCUCGGUUACCAAGAGACUACUACUACUACACAUAAUAUCUUAUUUGACCCUUCCAACAACCAUGUGCAGUAACUACUACUAUUAACCCCUUUUUUAGAUUAAGCUAAAGCUGAGACUUCAAGUGACUUGCCCAAGCUCACCCAGUAAAGAAACUUGUCUGAGCCAGCAUGCAGAUCCUGGUCUUCCUGACUCCAGAUACUGACAUUGGGACCUUGUCAAGUUUCUUAACUUGUCAGCACAGCAAUCAACUCUUCAAGACAACAAAUUCCAGAGUAGUUACGGAUUGGCUCUGGUAGACAAGAAUUUCUUCACAGGAAAAUCUCAACAUCAAUAAAAUCCCAGGUAAUGACUAUUAUUUUCA
Molecule: long non-coding RNA, 387 nt
Filed under: Monodelphis domestica (gray short-tailed opossum)
Lineage: Eukaryota; Metazoa; Chordata; Mammalia; Didelphimorphia; Didelphidae
Description: lncRNA (ENSMODG00000040556.1)
Source: RNAcentral